RNAcentral lists this long non-coding RNA (535 nucleotides) under Pelobates cultripes (western spadefoot toad). Lineage: Eukaryota; Metazoa; Chordata; Amphibia; Anura; Pelobatidae. The record is from RNAcentral.
GGUGUGAGGUAGUUCUGAUAUGGAGGUCUAUGACAGCGGUGUGAGGUAGUUCUGAUAUGGAGGUCUAUGACAGCGGUGUGAGGUAGCUCUGAUAUGGAGGUCUAUGACAGCGGUGUGAGGUAGCUCUGAUAUGGAGGACUAUGACAGCGGUGUGAGGUAGUUCUGAUAUGGAGGACUAUGACAGGGUGUGAGGUAGUUCUGAUACUAAGGACUGUGACAGGGUGUGAGGUAGCUCUGAUAUUGAGGACUGUGACAGGGUGUGAGGUAGCUCUGAUACGAAGGACUGUGACAGGGUGUGAGGUAGCUCUGAUAUGGAGGUCUAUGACAGCGGUGUGAGGUAGUUCUGAUAUGGAGGACUGUGACAGGGUGUGAGGUAGUUCUGAUAUGGAGGACUGUGACAGGGUGUGAGGUAGCUCUGAUAUGGAGGACUAUGACAGGGUGUGAGGUAGCUCUGAUAUGGAGGACUGUGACAGGGUGUGAGGUAGCUCUGAUAUGGAGGACUAUGACAGGGUGUGAGGUAGUUCUGAUACGAAGG